Molecule: ribosomal RNA, 492 nt
Filed under: uncultured bacterium
Lineage: Bacteria
Description: partial 16S ribosomal RNA
Rfam family: Bacterial small subunit ribosomal RNA
Source: RNAcentral
AGUGAACGCUGGCGGUAGGCCUAACACAUGCAAGUCGAACGGCAGCACAGUAAGAGCUUGCUCUUACGGGUGGCGAGUGGCGGACGGGUGAGGAAUACAUCGGAAUCUACUUUUUCGUGGGGGAUAACGUAGGGAAACUUACGCUAAUACCGCAUACGACCUACGGGUGAAAGCAGGGGAUCUUCGGACCUUGCGCGAUUGAAUGAGCCGAUGUCGGAUUAGCUAGUUGGCGGGGUAAAGGCCCACCAAGGCGACGAUCCGUAGCUGGUCUGAGAGGAUGAUCAGCCACACUGGAACUGAGACACGGUCCAGACUCCUACGGGAGGCAGCAGUGGGGAAUAUUGGACAAUGGGCGCAAGCCUGAUCCAGCCAUACCGCGUGGGUGAAGAAGGCCUUCGGGUUGUAAAGCCCUGUUGUUGGGAAAGAAAAGCAGCAGGUUAAUACCCCGCUGUCCUGACGGUACCCAAAGAAUAAGCACCGGCUAACUUCGUG